AGCAAGCUAGCGAUAGUGAGCGAAUCCCAAAAAGUGCGUCGUAGUCCGGAUUGGAGUCUGCAACUCGACUCCAUGAAGUCGGAAUCGCUAGUAAUCGUAGAUCAGAAUGCUACGGUGAAUACGUUCCCGGGCCUUGUACACACCGCCCGUCACACCAUGGGAGUGGGCUGCAAAAGAAGUGGGUAGUUUAACCUUUCGGGGAGGACGCUCACCACUUUGUGGUUCAUGACUGGGGUGAAGUCGUAACAAGGUAGCCCUAGGGGAACCUGGGGCUGGAUCACCUCCUUA
RNAcentral lists this ribosomal RNA (288 nucleotides) under Vibrio sp. TMPB1044. RNAcentral describes it as "partial 16S ribosomal RNA". It matches the Rfam family "Bacterial small subunit ribosomal RNA", at positions 1248 to 1533 of the family's 1533-position model. Lineage: Bacteria; Pseudomonadati; Pseudomonadota; Gammaproteobacteria; Vibrionales; Vibrionaceae. The record is from RNAcentral.